CAGGAAGGCACUUAUGCCUCUGAGUUAUAUCCCUGGAAAAUAUAUGUAUUUUAAUAAAACUGCAGAUUGGACUUCAACCCUCUUUACACCCUCACCUUCCUUAAAAAACCCUUUAUGUAUAUAGCAUAUUAGAUAUUUUAUAUCAUGCUAAAGGAUAUUUACAAGAACAUGUAACUAUAGACUCCGUGUUUUUGCUUUGAAGCCCCCCUUUUAAGUUGAUCUUGUGGAACAACAGCACUGAGUAGGACUUCAACUGAGAAACAAUUCCAUGCAGAUGUGCUUAGAUUGUCCACAUAAAAUAAGCAUCAAGAAAAAAAAUUAUCUGAGGUGAACACUCAAGUAAUAAGACACAUAGCUACAUCCACAAUAAGAGGGUUGGGUUUAUCAACAUUAUCCAAGGAUAUGUGACUUGAUAUUUCAAGGACUUGUCAUCUGCAUUCUGAAACGUUGUGAGAUAGGUAAAGUUGGUCUAAUAGGUGUCCAUUCAUUUUAACAAAAACAUGAUAAGUACAGUGACCUACUUUCAUGAGGGUGUGUGUGGUACUGGGGAUUGAACUAGGAUACAAUGAGGCCUUUGUAUCCUUAGCCCUUGUAAAAUUUUGUUUUAUUUUGAAACAAGGUCUCAUUAUGCUCCCCAGACAAGACACAAACUUGCAAUCCUCCUGCGUCAGCCUCCCAGAGUGCUAGAAUUACAAACACAUAGGGGCAUGUCCAGCUUGAUCUGUUAUUUUUGUUUGAAUGCACAACUUGCCUGCUAAGGCAUUUCCUGAAUCUUUGUGAAAGUAGUAAAUGUAUGUUUUAGGUCCCCUUAGCUUUUGGGAUGAUGUGGGUCUGUAUGGCUUGAUAAAAUUCUGUAUGUUUCUCCUUAAAGCCAAUUUAAAUUGUUUCUUGUUAACUUUUGCUUUUUGAUAAUAAUAAUAAUUGAUUCUUGUCCUGCAGAGGGAAGACCUGGGCCAGUGGAGCCAGCGAGAUUAACUUGGCCUUCAUGUCCUCCAGGGAGCAGUCUAGCACCUGUGAAAGUCCACUGCAGGAGGAAAACGGUUCCAAGGUAGGACUCUCUCAUCCUAAUCCAGAGGCUCAGGAUGAACUGUUGGCCCUUUUCUUCCUCUUAGAAGCCCACAAGACCAGUAUAAGGACACCAGAUGGAGAAUCAGAAAACAUGAAUUCUGGUCAGGCACGGUAGUGCAUGUCUGUCACCCCAGCGCGGGGCGGUGGAGGCAGGAGGAUCGCCAGGAGUGUCGGGCCAGCCUGGGCCAUGAGUUCAAGGCUAGCCUGACUACGCAGGGAGACAAGUUCUGUUAGUGGUCUGAAACAGGGUGCAUUAGGGCAGCCAUGUAGUUCACCAUCCAAACUGUGACAUUACUGAAGGGGGAGGGGCACUGAGAAUGAUGACACCGGGGCAACGGAGGACACAGACACGAACUGAAACUGCCCUCAGCAAACUGGGGUACACGGUCACUUUGGGCCACAAGACGUUCUCUACGAAACAGUGAUGCUAUGAUCAGUGAGCUAUUUCCAAUGUUUACCUUUAAACCCUAAUGAUUAGGGUUGGCAGAUUACUGUUUUUAAAAAUAAUGUAUAAAGAGGUUUCAAAUACCAAGAGCCAAAGCUUAAAAGCACGCCUCUUUAAAACUUUUCUUAGACGACUUUUUACAGAAAGGAAUCAAGAAAUUACUUCCUCAUUCCCAGCAGUUUUGUGAAUACGUUGCCCUGCAUGCAUUCCUUCCUCUUUUCAACCACCAGAAGGUAUUUUCAUGUUGUGUAUUUGGUUUUAAAGAAGCCAUACCGCCCCUGGUAUGUCUCUCUAUUUCACGCGUGGGGAAGAGGAAAAGGGACGGGGAGGCAGCACAGGCGGGAUGGAGAUGAGACAUGAAGACUCCAGGAGAGGACACUUCCCGUUUCUGCUUUUGGUGCACCCGAGAUGCACAAAACCAGCCUUCGUUCCGGGAUACUUCACACAUUGUGACGCCGUCGCAAGUGUGAUUCUCACCUUGUUUGCAAGCGUCCCUACGAUACGGUUUCUGAGACAAGCCAGCUAGGUCUGGGCCUGCUUGACCUGAGACCUUCCUCUGUUCUCGAACUCAAGGCAGUUGACACCUGCAGGCAGCACGUCCCACAUGCCACCGUGCCUCUAGACAGGUCGUGCUCUUAUAAUCUCCUUAGAAAUGCUUGCCACUCAAAAGUAUGCCAGGCCCUUUUUGCCUUGAACAAAGAAUCAGAGGAGACAAGCCAGUAACAUUGCCAAAAAGUCUGUUUAAAAAGCAUGCGGUGAAUUGGGCCAAAGCAAAAAAGAAGGUAAAAGCAAAAAUAGAAGUACACGCUGCAUCUGAGAAACGGAGCAUGGACUGUUGUGGAAACUCACCCAGGAUGGCAUCUUUCCACGACGGCCGCUCUUCUUUUAUGACGCCCACACCCCUUGGGAGCUCUGGGACCUACUGAAAUGAACAGACGCUCUCACACGACUGACCUCGUUACUGCUCACCAUGAUUAACGCGAGGCACAAGAGGACCAAGCAAACACUGAAUGCUUAGCAUUCAAGGACCUAAGUUAAUAAAAGUAGCUGGCUCUUAAGAACUGCGUUUGAAGUUAUAUCAAAAACUGAAAAUUUCAUGAUGUGACUUGUCCGAAGUUCCGAUUUGGGAGUUUUCCUCUUCCAAACUCAAAAUACUGUGAAGGAAAUGUUGCCUUCAUUUGAAUUUCUUCUCUACCCCAAAUCCCACCUCCAAAGGAAAACCACAUUUGUGUCACCAUAAAUUCAAAACGUUCCCACUGGAGAUGCUACCACUUCACAUGACCGUCUUGGCAAGUGUGCCUCACGGGAGAGUACUAAUUACUUUGCAUAUGCAGUUUUCCUUUAAAUACAUGUCAGUUAUGCAUUAUUUGACAUUCUAAGAGUCAAUACAUACCAAAUAUAGGAAAUUUUAUAGAAAAUAAUUUUUAAACGUACUGAUACUAAAAUGUUUAGUUUUGGGGGGGCUGGUACUGGGACUUGAACUCAGGACCUUGUGCUUGCCAGGUAGGUGCUUAUGCCACUGAGCUAUAUCUCCAGCCCUAAAAUGUUUAGUUUUUAAGAUAUAUAAACCACAAAUUUUGAGAUAAUCAAAAACUCAGGAUGAAAACAGGUAAUCAAGGAAGAGUUAAAGGUAAACAUUUCUACUUCCAGGCAAUCGUUAUUCCUAAACAAAACCAAAAAGCUUCCUAUUAAAAUAAUGGCAAAUGUGUAACAUUAUUAAUUGCUUCUAAUUUAUAGUGAACUCUUCUAUCCCAUUUAUUAAAGGUUCUUGAGAUGGUAAAGGAAAAUUGUGCAUAUACAGUGCACUUACGCUAUUAAUUCUUGUAUAGGCAAGUAAGACAUACUAUAAGACAUGGUAUCUAAAAAUUCCCUAUCAAUGUAAAAAAUCUACCUCAACUUAUCUAAAUGGAAUUCUGAGAACAUAAAGACAUAUUAAAGUAAAACUCUAAACUGGUGUGGUGAUGCACACCUGUAACCCCAGCACUCGGGAAACUGAGGCAGAGGGAUCACUGCGAGUUCAAAGUCAGCCUGGUGAACUACAUAGCAAGAGCAUGUCUUAAAGAAAAGUAAAUUCAAUUUCUAUUUCUUUAAGCUAAGCAUCUCACAAACGUAGUAUCACAGUUUUAAAGAUAGCAUACAGUAUUUAUUUUACCAAUGUAAGUCUGUAAAUGUCAGAUAAUAUUCAUCUCCUAUUUCUGUAAAUUCUUUCUGAAAUAUUUAGUAAAAAAAGACUAUUAAAAAAGGAGAGCAGGGAGAAAUGUAGCAGAAUUGUAACUAGAACUGCCUAAACUGAAAAUACUACUUCAUUUAUUUGCUAAUAAGGUUGUGGAAAAAUACUGUUUUAAUUAAUUCCUUCUUUAUCUCUCUUUAAAGACAUUUUACCUCUUCAACUAGCAGACCGAGGAUUAGUGCUACUGGCCUUCUGCGAAAACCUGGUUUCCAGAGGAGUCAGACCUUCCAACCCCAAGCUGGCUCUGCCUGACUGAUUUUAAAGUGCGCACCAGCGAUCUUCCUGAAACAAGACUGUGUGCCUUUCAGAACAUUCACAUUUAACCGUGAGAGCUCCCUUACAGAGAUUCAUCCACAAAACAAUUAACUUUAUUUGUCAAAUGUCAGGGAAAAAAUUUUAUUGUAAGGAAUUAAGCAAGUGGGAUCAAAGAAGCCAAAAUAUCAGUAAAAAAUGUAUUUAAGGGAAUGUAGUUAAAGGAAUAAAUGCAGGUGUAUCACACACACCUAAUAGCCUUCCUAAGCACCAGAAAGCACUCACCGAAGCACCUAUAAAGCUGCCCCACUUUUCAGUUUCCCUGUGCUCGAGAUUCUGAUGAUCAGUUAAGGGCAAGUCUUUGUGACACAACAGACUUCCUUCAAUCAAGGUCAUAAUUUGAAAUAUUAUACAAUAAUGGGAUUUAAAUUAUUUAUGGGAAGAAAGUAGGAGACUGAAAAUAAGGUAUCAGAAACCCCUAGGUAUUUUUAGAGUCAGAAAAAUAUAGCCAGAGGCCAAUAUCCUUCUAAAAGAGGAAGGACAAGAGCAGCUGCCGGAGUGUGACUUCUCCCCAGCAUACCCAAAGCAACAUGGCCACUGGGACCCCGGCCUGACUGCUUACUCUCAGAUAAUCCCCGGGAGGAAAUCGGGCCAGCACUUUUGUGUAUUCAAGAGACAGGGUCUCUUUCUGCUGCCCGGACUGUCUCCAAACUCUCGAGCUCAAGGGAUCUUUUUGCCUCAGCUUCCUGCGUAGCUGGGAUUACACACAUGCAGCAGGGCACUGGGCUUGCACUACUUUGCUUCUUGAGAGGCUGAACCCUUAGAUACAAAUACGCAGGAAGGGGGUCUUCAACUGCUCACUUUCCAGCCUACGGUAUUUGGAUACAACCAUCAUCCAGAUAAAUAAAUCUUGAGAGAGAAGAUAACAGCAGUAAUUCACACUCUCAGUUAACCAGUUUAGUGGCACUCCCUUCUGAACAGUUCUUUGAAUAAAAAGCAGCAGUCGAGUGCAAGCAGUCCCUCUGAAUACCUGUCCAGUAAAUUAACAAAGACUUACUAACCAGUUCUAGAAUCCUAAGUAACAACACGACCUGUGUGAUGUGAGAAUAGUGCACGUGAACAAAAAACCCUAAGUUCAAUGUCUUUGCUACCAUAUUUAAAAAAUUAUUUAAAAUUUCAGUUUUAGCUCCUUUGCCUCAACUAUUUUGCUCUGUAAAUAGAUCUUCGUAAGCUGUUAAAUGGCAAAAAGAAGAC
Chinchilla lanigera (long-tailed chinchilla) is the source of this 5249-nucleotide long non-coding RNA. RefSeq lists it as uncharacterized. The record is from RefSeq and is a predicted model, not a curated record. The transcript is spliced from 2 exons. NCBI's taxonomy places the organism in Eukaryota, Metazoa, Chordata, Mammalia, Rodentia, Chinchillidae.